RNAcentral lists this transfer RNA (62 nucleotides) under Salmonella enterica subsp. enterica serovar Enteritidis str. SA20095440. RNAcentral describes it as "tRNA-Und (NNN) (tRNA-Und-NNN-1-1)". It matches the Rfam family "tRNA", at positions 14 to 71 of the family's 71-position model. From Rfam's summary of the family: Transfer RNA (tRNA) molecules are approximately 80 nucleotides in length. Their secondary structure includes four short double-helical elements and three loops (D, anti-codon, and T loops). RNAcentral also lists the same sequence under 2 other names. The record is from RNAcentral. Lineage: Bacteria; Pseudomonadati; Pseudomonadota; Gammaproteobacteria; Enterobacterales; Enterobacteriaceae.
NNUGGUAGAGCAGUUGACUUUUAAUCAAUUGGUCGCAGGUUCGAAUCCUGCACGACCCACCA